Molecule: ribosomal RNA, 483 nt
Filed under: uncultured Glomus
Lineage: Eukaryota; Fungi; Glomeromycota; Glomeromycetes; Glomerales; Glomeraceae
Description: SSU rRNA
Rfam family: Eukaryotic small subunit ribosomal RNA
Source: RNAcentral
AGCAGCCGCGGUAAUUCCAGCUCCAAUAGCGUAUAUUAAAGUUGUUGCAGUUAAAAAGCUCGUAGUUGAAUUUCGGGAUCAAUAUGUCGGUCGUGCCUUGGUACGUACUGGUAUCAUUGGUCUCUCCUUUCUGACGAACCAUGAUGUCAUUAAUUUGGUGUUAUGGGAAGUUAGGACUGUUACUUUGAAAAAAUUAGAGUGUUUAAAGCAGGCUUUAGCUUGAAUACAUUAGCAUGGAAUAAUGAAAUAGGACGUUCGAACCUAUUUUGUUGGUUUCUAGGAUCAACGUAAUGAUUAAUAGGGAUAGUUGGGGGCAUUAGUAUUCAAUUGUCAGAGGUGAAAUUCUUGGAUUUAUUGAAGACUAACUACUGCGAAAGCAUUUGCCAAGGAUGUUUUCAUUAAUCAAGAACGAAAGUUAGGGGAUCGAAGACGAUCAGAUACCGUCGUAGUCUUAACCAUAAACUAUGCGACUAGGGAUCGGAU